AAAAAGUAGUUUAAAAAAAACACUAACUUUGGGAGUUAGAAUUCAAAAAAUUUUGCUUUUUGAA
Molecule: transfer RNA, 64 nt
Filed under: Emplectonema gracile
Lineage: Eukaryota; Metazoa; Nemertea; Enopla; Monostilifera; Emplectonematidae
Description: tRNA-Pro
Source: RNAcentral